Molecule: ribosomal RNA, 406 nt
Filed under: uncultured bacterium
Lineage: Bacteria
Description: partial 16S ribosomal RNA
Rfam family: Bacterial small subunit ribosomal RNA
Source: RNAcentral
AUUGAACGCUGGCGGCAUGCCUAAUACAUGCAAGUCGAACGAGUGGCGGACGGGCGAGUAAUGUCUGGGAAACUGCCCGAUGGAGGGGGAUAACUACUGGAAACAGUAGCUACUACCGCAUACCACCGGUUGUGCUCUGAGGGGAUUAGCUAGUGGGUGGGGUAACGGCUCACCUAGGCGACGAUCCCUAGCUGGUCUGAGAGGGUGACCGGCCACACGGGAAAGGAGACACGGUCCAGACUCCUACGGGAGGCAGCAGUGGGGAAUAUUGCACAAUGGGCGCAAGCCUGAUGCAGCCAUGCCGCGGGUAUGAAGAAGGCCGUCGGGUUGUAAAGUACUUUCAGCGGGGAGGCGUUACUCGCAGAAGAAGCACCGGCUAACUCCGUGCCAGCAGCCGCGGUAAUAC